Molecule: long non-coding RNA, 904 nt
Organism: Malania oleifera
Lineage: Eukaryota; Viridiplantae; Streptophyta; Magnoliopsida; Santalales; Ximeniaceae
Exons: 5
Source: RefSeq, a predicted model, not a curated record
AGGAAAUUAAUUGGAAUAGAAAUUGUCUUUGAAAUGCCUCGUCAGUUUCCUCCGUCUCGCUCUCCCGUCUCUCCCUCUGCCAUGGCGAGAAACAGAAGCUUGAAAGAGAGAAAUGGCGUCGUGCCAAUGGACGUUACUGACCGGACCAUCUCAGACCUCCUCAAGCUAUGUACUCGUCCGAGUCUCUGCCGUCUGUCUCAGCCCCAGGUGCAUCCAGUACUAGAAAGAUGAAGAAGGGACCAAGCGAAGAGAUAAAAAAGUGUCUGAAAGACGGAAGUUAUGGCAAAAGCUAUAUCUAGAUAUGAGAAGUUUCUGGAGAAAAUUUUGAAGAAUGACAGCCAAAAGUUAACUCAAUCUGCCAAAAUGCUUUAGGAUUGAGCUUCUUACCCUUUAGUGUCCUUCGCGAAGACUACAGAAGAGUGGCUUAAUUGAAAGAGUUGGUUGCCUGCUGUGGCCAGAACAAUUCCAUCUGUUCGGGCACCUGAGAUGGUCUGCUGUGGCUGAAACAAUUCAGGGAAAUAUAAUGAAGUUCCCACUAGAUUGCUCAAGAGAACUUCCGCAUCUAAGGAUCUUCAAUGAGAUCAUGACUUGUCGUCAGGAACAAAAAAUGGAAAUCAAGAAAGACCAGGUGAUAAAGCUCUGAGUUAGAAGGAAGCUGGUACCCUGAUAGACAGGGUGAGUGUUUUGAUCUAGGGAUGUGUGAUUCCCCUAGCGUUUUGGUUGAUUUUCGGGGAUGAGUUAGAUAUGUAUAUAUAUGUUUAUGAAUGUUUAGUACUCUAGUUAUUUGUAUUCUGGAUGGUGUUUAUAUACGGUUUUCUGUUGUUAGGUAUGUAUUUAUAUGAUGGACUGAUUACCCAGUACCCUCUUUGGGUCGGGUUAUGUGUAACGGUAUCAGAGUUUCUGA